AACGCAUAUUGCGCUCUCUGGUAUUCCGGGGAGCAUGCCUGUUUCAGCAUCAUUUGAACAUCUCAAACUCAUUUUUUGAUUUUGGAAAGCUGGGCCUUUUUGUUGAGUGUUUCUACCCAACUGGCCUGAAAUUCUGUAAUAAAUAAUACAAGAAAUUGUGCAGAUGCCUUUGUUGCUUAAGACGAAAAGCUAACUAGUUGACUGUGGUCGAACUUUGCUGACUAGUCUUUAAUAACUAGGCAAAUCUACACUCACAAAUUGAUCUGAAAUCAGGUAGGAUUACCCGCUGAACUUAA
Molecule: unclassified non-coding RNA, 296 nt
Filed under: uncultured fungus
Lineage: Eukaryota; Fungi
Description: sequence contains ITS2
Source: RNAcentral